Small nucleolar RNA from Corchorus capsularis, 94 nucleotides. The record is from Rfam. Lineage: Eukaryota; Viridiplantae; Streptophyta; Magnoliopsida; Malvales; Malvaceae.
GUUUGGCUGUGAGGAUUCUAUAUACAGCUUUAAAAUGCCAGUUCUGCUUCUGAAAUUCCUUGAUUGAUAAGCUGUUCUAUUUUCUGAGCCUCCU